GCUCCAAUGGCCUAGCGGUUAGAGCUUCCGCAUCGGAUGCGGAAAGUCGCGGGUCCGAAACCCGGCCGAGUCA
Potamilus streckersoni is the source of this 73-nucleotide non-coding RNA. NCBI's taxonomy places the organism in Eukaryota, Metazoa, Mollusca, Bivalvia, Unionida, Unionidae. The record is from the annotation of a GenBank genome assembly.